This 512-nucleotide ribosomal RNA is filed under the name Colotis vesta. RNAcentral describes it as "partial 16S ribosomal RNA". Lineage: Eukaryota; Metazoa; Arthropoda; Insecta; Lepidoptera; Pieridae. The record is from RNAcentral.
UCUUUUUGAAAAUNANAUAAAGUCAAAUCUGCCCNCUGANNUUNUUUAAAGGGCUGCNGUAUAUUGACUGUACAAAGGUAGCAUAAUCAUUAGUCUUUUAAUUGAAGACUUGUAUGAAUGAUUNGAUGAGAUAUAAGCUGUCUCUUUAUUAAUAUUAGAAUUUAAUUUUUUAGUUAAAAAGCUAAAAUAAUUAUAAAAGACGAGAAGACCCUAUAGAGNUUAAUAUUUUUAUAAAUNUAAAUUUUAUANAAAAUUUUAAAUUUAAAUUUAUGGAAAUAUUUUAUUGGGGGGAUGGAAAAAUUUAUUAAACUUUUUUUAAAAUAAAAACAUUAAUAUAUGAUUAUAUGAUCCAUAAUUUAUGAUUAUAAGAAUAAAUUACCUUAGGGAUAACAGCGUAAUUUUUUUUUUUAGUUCGUCUAAAAAUUAAAGUUCGCNACCUCGAUGUUGGAUUAAGAUCNAAUUUAAAUGCNANAGUUUAAAAUUUUGACCUGUUCCANCNUUNAAANCNUNCA